UCGGGUGUGGUGCACGGCGCACGACAGCCUUCCUUCACGGCUUCUACGUUGUAUGUAAGCUGCAGACCGGGGUUCGACUCCCCGCACCCGAG
This is a non-coding RNA of Mycena crocata, 92 nucleotides long. NCBI's taxonomy places the organism in Eukaryota, Fungi, Basidiomycota, Agaricomycetes, Agaricales, Mycenaceae. The record is from the annotation of a GenBank genome assembly.